AGUGAACGCUGGCGGUAGGCCUAACACAUGCAAGUCGAACGGCAGCACAGUAAGAGCUUGCUCUUACGGGUGGCGAGUGGCGGACGGGGGAGGAAUACAGCGGAAUCUACUUUUUCGUGGGGGAUAACGUAGGGAAACUUACGCUAAUACCGCAUACGACCUACGGGUGAAAGCAGGGGAUCUUCGGACCUUGCGCGAUUGAAUGAGCCGAUGUCGGAUUAGCUAGUUGGCGGGGUAAAGGCCCACCAAGGCGGCGAUCCGUAGCUGGUCUGAGAGGAUGGUCAGCCACACUGGAACUGAGACAGAGUGCUGACACCGAAAGGAAGCAGCGGUGCAGAAUAUUAGGCGAUGGGGGCGAGCCUAAUCCAGCCAUACCGCGUGAGUGAAGAAGGCGUUCGGGUUGGAGAGCCAUGAUGGUAUGAAAGAAGAGAAGCACGUUAAUACCCCGCUAUACUGACGGUACCCAAGGAAUAAGCACCGGCUAAAUUCGUG
This 492-nucleotide ribosomal RNA is filed under the name uncultured bacterium. RNAcentral's name for it is "partial 16S ribosomal RNA". It matches the Rfam family "Bacterial small subunit ribosomal RNA", at positions 29 to 507 of the family's 1533-position model. The record is from RNAcentral.